UAGAGUUUGAUCCUGGCUCAGGAUGAACGCUGGCGGCGUGCUUAACACAUGCAAGUCGAACGAUGAUCCGGUGCUUGCGCCGGGGAUUAGUGGCGAACGGGUGAGUAACACGUGAGUAACCUGCCCUUGACUCUGGGAUAAGCCUGGGAAACUGGGUCUAAUACCGGAUAUGACUCCUCAUCGCAUGGUGGGGGGUGGAAAGCUUUUGCGGUUUUGGAUGGACUCGCGGCCUAUCAGCUUGUUGGUGGGGUAAUGGCCUACCAAGGCGACGACGGGUAGCCGGCCUGAGAGGGUGACCGGCCACACUGGGACUGAGACACGGCCCAGACUCCUACGGGAGGCAGCAGUGGGGAAUAUUGCACAAUGGGCGCAAGCCUGAUGCAGCGACGCCGCGUGAGGGAUGACGGCCUUCGGGUUGUAAACCUCUUUCAGUAGGGAAGAAGCUUUCGGGUGACGGUACCUGCAGAAGAAGCGCCGGCUAACUACGUGCCAGCAGCCGCGGUAAUACGUAGGGCGCAAGCGUUAUCCGGAAUUAUUGGGCGUAAAGAGCUCGUAGGCGGUUUGUCGCGUCUGCUGUGAAAGACCGGGGCUCAACUCCGGUUCUGCAGUGGGUACGGGCAGACUAGAGUGAUGUAGGGGAGACUGGAAUUCCUGGUGUAGCGGUGAAAUGCGCAGAUAUCANGAGGAACACCGAUGGCGAAGGCAGGUCUCUGGGCAUUAACUGACGCU
This 729-nucleotide ribosomal RNA is filed under the name bacterium enrichment culture clone ADE_81. RNAcentral describes it as "bacterial SSU rRNA". It matches the Rfam family "Bacterial small subunit ribosomal RNA", at positions 1 to 747 of the family's 1533-position model. The record is from RNAcentral.